Peromyscus maniculatus bairdii (prairie deer mouse) is the source of this 915-nucleotide non-coding RNA. The record is from RefSeq and is a predicted model, not a curated record. NCBI's taxonomy places the organism in Eukaryota, Metazoa, Chordata, Mammalia, Rodentia, Cricetidae.
CUGGGGCCUGUCCUGGAGUGUGCCUGCUACACCAGUGACACUCCAUUGGAGAAGACUGAUUUUCCCGUUAUCGGCAGGUAUCGAUUGCAAAUAGCUUCUUGGUGAAGGGUGGGACCCUGUGUCUACCUCCCCCUCUCAGUCCUGGGCCCCCAUCUGGUUUGGACCUGGGCAGGACUUGUGCCUGCUAUUGGGGGCAAGUUGGUUUUUGUUUUGUUUUUGCUUUUGACAGUUUCACUGAUGUAUAAAGUCCAGUAGUUCAAUAGGUUUUAUCAAAUGCUCAUUGUGAUUUAGAACAUCUCUAUUUAUUGGGGUAUAUUUUAAUUAUAGGUGUGAAUUUCUUCAAAGUAAGAAAUCCUCAGAGGAAAUUGCCCAGUAUAUUAAAAGCUACGAGGGAUUUGUCCAUGUAACGGGAGAACAUUUUGUGAAUUCCUGGGUCAGAAGAGAAUUACCUAUGGUGUCAGCUUACUGCAAUGACAGCGUCUUUGCUAAUGAAGAACUAAGGCUGGACACCUUUAAGGACUGGCCCCUUGAGUCCCCUGUGGCUGUUGAAGCUCUGGUCAGAGCAGGCCUUUUCUACACAGGUCUCAUGGGCGAUGUUCUCCUACUGCAAUGCUGUGGGAAGAGACAAGUCAUUCUCCAUGAUCUCACUCACAGAGAACCCCUAAAUUAGCUCCUGUGUUCCUCCACCUCCGACCUUCACAUAUAUUCUUUCUCGUUUAUUCCUUAAGCAAAUGCCUAUUGAUCGCCUAUGUCUGUGAGAGUCCACUCUGUCAGCAUUGUCCAAAUCAGACAGAAAUCUCUGCUCCCAGAGUUUCUAUGCUGUGGGAUGGUCUGUAUGCCAAAUCUGUUGCUCUGAUUGGUCAAUAAAUAAAACACUGAUUGGCCAGUGGCCAGGCAGAAAGUGUAGGCGGGACU